GAAUUUUGGACAAUGGGCGAAAGCCUGAUCCCGCAAUGCCGCGUGCAGGAACAAGGCUUUCGGGUUGUACACUGCUCUUGUACGGAACGAAAAGCUUUGGCUUAAUACCCUGGAGUCAUGACGGUACCGUAAGACUAAGCCCCGGCUAACUACGCCCCCGCAGCCGCGGUAAUCCGUAGGGUGCAAGCGUUAUUCGGAAUUACUGGGCGUAAAGCGGGCGCAGGCUGGUUUGUAAGACAGAGGUGAAAUCCCCGGGCUCAACCUGGGAACUGCCUUUGUGACUGCAAGGCUAGAGUACGGCAGAGGGGGGUGGAAUUCCGCGUGUAGCAGUGAAAUGCGUAGAUAUGCGGAGGAACACCGAUGGCGAAGGCAACCCCCUGGGCCUGUACUGACGCUCAUGCACGAAAGCGUGGGGAGCAAACA
This 423-nucleotide ribosomal RNA is filed under the name uncultured bacterium. RNAcentral's name for it is "partial 16S ribosomal RNA". It matches the Rfam family "Bacterial small subunit ribosomal RNA", at positions 359 to 774 of the family's 1533-position model. The record is from RNAcentral.